AACCAAUCCCUCCACUUCUAAAGAACCCUCACACAAUACUGAGUAAUUCUAUAGUCCUAUAGAAAAUUUUAUGUUAAAACUAGUAACAAGAAGAAGAACUUCUCCUAUAUGCAAGUGUAAAUCAGACAGGACAUCCCACUGACAAUUAGCACCAAUGAAUGUAAAGCAGCAACCUAACAAGAAAACCCUUCUACACCAUGUGUUAACCUAACACCAGAGCAUUACAAGAAAGAUUUAAAGAAAGAGAAGGAACUCGGCAAAUAAUAACCCCGCCUGUUUACCAAAAACAUCGCCUCUUGAAAAACAUAAGAGGUCCAGCCUGCCCAGUGACCCUGUUCAACGGCCGCGGUAUCCUAACCGUGCGAAGGUAGCGUAAUCACUUGUUCUUUAAAUGAGGACUAGUAUGAACGGCCCCACGAAGGUUAUACUGUCUCCUCUUUCUAAUCAGUGAAACUAAUCUCCCCGUGAAGAAGCGGGGAUGAAUAUAUAAGACGAGAAGACCCUAUGGAGCUUUAAACCACACAACACCUGCUUUCAACUUAACUACUUCCAGAAAAACCCCCUUUAUCCCCGCAGAAUGAUUGUCAGUUUUAGGUUGGGGUGACCGCGGAGCACAAAAUAACCUCCACAUUGAAAGGAACCCACUCCUUAGCUAAGAGCCACGCCUCCACGCAUCAAUAAAAUGACAUUAAUUGACCCAAUGUAUUGAUCAACGAACCAAGUUACCCUAGGGAUAACAGCGCAAUCCACUUUAAGAGCCCCUAUCGACAAGUGGGUUUACGACCUCGAUGUUGGAUCAGGGUGUCCCGGUGGUGCAGCCGCUACCAAAGGU
Molecule: ribosomal RNA, 832 nt
Filed under: Nymphargus bejaranoi (Bolivian cochran frog)
Lineage: Eukaryota; Metazoa; Chordata; Amphibia; Anura; Centrolenidae
Description: partial 16S ribosomal RNA
Rfam family: Bacterial large subunit ribosomal RNA
Source: RNAcentral